UGCUCAGCAACUCCUAUCCCUACCUCCUCGUGGUACUGGCCGGGGUACGAGUAACCUUAGGGAAGAUCGGGUGGG
RNAcentral lists this ribozyme (75 nucleotides) under Aedes aegypti (yellow fever mosquito). RNAcentral's name for it is "drz-agam-1 ribozyme". It matches the Rfam family "drz-agam-1 ribozyme". The record is from Rfam by way of RNAcentral. Lineage: Eukaryota; Metazoa; Arthropoda; Insecta; Diptera; Culicidae.